Molecule: non-coding RNA, 820 nt
Organism: Phalacrocorax carbo (great cormorant)
Lineage: Eukaryota; Metazoa; Chordata; Aves; Suliformes; Phalacrocoracidae
Source: RefSeq, a predicted model, not a curated record
UGCCCGGCCGGUGGCGGGGCGGCCCUGCUGCUGCCCCGGGGCCCUCGGGCGGGGCGGAGAAGGGGCUCGGCAGCGGGACCUUCCGCUCGUUGCGGGACAGGCAGGGAGGGUGCAGCGGAGCGUUUAGUUGUGCCGGGCUGCGCUGCGCAGCCCAGCCCAGCCCAGCCACGGGAGCCUGAGGUGCCGGCCGAGCUUCGCUUCCCGCCUCUCCGGAGAAGGCGCGUUGGGGCAGGAAAAGAUUCCCAGUGCAAAAGCAGACACUAUGAUCAAGAAGUCAGCUUCCCAGGAUGCGGUUCAUCCUCUGCGCCAUGGGUGUGUUGACUUCUUUGGUUUCAGCUCAGCCACAUUGUUUCAGGUGACAUGAACAGUCUCAGCUCUAACAUGCAGGCAUGGCAGAUGAUUUACUUAGGAGACCUUUCUGGAAAAGAAUUGGAAAGAUGUGUGUCUGCACAGAAGGAAGAAGGCAUCUCCCUGUCCAGAGGGCUACUAUUCUUGAAGAAGGACGACAGCUGUGACUUCAAACACUGACUUUCUGGACUGAAAAACAAGAUGCCUUGCUGUUGUUCCUCCGCAGCUGAAAUGGAGCACUUGAAGUAACAGAUGCAGCUGGGCAACAGGCUUAUAAGCAAGGUGCCUGUCAUUCCUGGAGGACUAGCACUGGGAUCCCCAGGGUUCUUAUGGUUUGCACUAGACACCUGAGGCCUUAUUCACAUCAGCUGUGAAAGAUGAUUUUCAGUUCUACACUGUAAAAAAUACCCAGCUGUAACAUUUAAGAAUAUAUGGUCUACUGCAUAAAAUAAAAUCUCAUGGUAGUAGUGUG